RNAcentral lists this ribosomal RNA (392 nucleotides) under Cardinium endosymbiont of Drosophila kikkawai. RNAcentral describes it as "bacterial SSU rRNA". It matches the Rfam family "Bacterial small subunit ribosomal RNA", at positions 477 to 873 of the family's 1533-position model. Lineage: Bacteria; Pseudomonadati; Bacteroidota; Cytophagia; Cytophagales; Amoebophilaceae. The record is from RNAcentral.
ACUGUAAGAAUAAGCACCGGCUAAUUCCGUGCCAGCAGCCGCGGUAAUACGGAAGGUGCAAGCGUUAUCCGGUUUUAUUGGGUUUAAAGGGUGCGUAGGCGGCUUAUUAAGUCAGUUGUGAAAUCCUAGUGCUUAACGCUAGAACUGCAAUUGAUACUAUUAGGCUUGAGUUAAGAAUAGGUAAGUAGAAUUUAUGGUGUAGUAGUGAAAUGCUUAGAUAUCAUAAGGAAUACCAAUAGCGUAGGCAGCUUACUGGUCUUUAACUGACGCUGAGGCACGAAAGCGUGGGGAGCAAACAGGAUUAGAUACCCUGGUAGUCCACGCCGUAAACGAUGAUCACUCGGUAUACAUAAAUUUAUGUGUGUCUAAGCGAAAGCGUUAAGUGAUCCACA